GUGAGGAAUAUUGCGCAAUGGAGGCAACUCUGACGCAGCCAUGCCGCGUGCAGGAAGAAGGCGCUACGCGUUGUAAACUGCUUUUAACCGGGAAGAAACCCCAGGACGUGUCCUGGGUUGACGGUACCGGAGGAAUAAGCACCGGCUAACUUCGUGCCAGCAGCCGCGGUAAUACGAAGGGUGCAAGCGUUAUCCGGAUUCAUUGGGUUUAAAGGGUGCGUAGGCGGAGCGUUAAGUCAGUGGUGAAAUCCUGCAGCUUAACUGUAGACUUGCCAUUGAUACUGGCGCUCUUGAGUGCGCUGGAAGUGGGCGGAAUGUGCCGUGUAGCGGUGAAAUGCUUAGAUAUGGCACAGAACACCAAUUGCGAAGGCAGCUCACUAAGGUGAUACUGACGCUGAGGCACGAAAGCGUGGGGAUCGAACAGGAUUAGAAACCCGGGUAGUCC
RNAcentral lists this ribosomal RNA (445 nucleotides) under uncultured bacterium. RNAcentral describes it as "partial 16S ribosomal RNA". It matches the Rfam family "Bacterial small subunit ribosomal RNA", at positions 354 to 796 of the family's 1533-position model. The record is from RNAcentral.